RNAcentral lists this long non-coding RNA (580 nucleotides) under Pongo abelii (Sumatran orangutan). RNAcentral's name for it is "lincRNA". The record is from RNAcentral. Lineage: Eukaryota; Metazoa; Chordata; Mammalia; Primates; Hominidae.
AGUCAUUCUUCUGGCAAACAUACGUGGAGGCCCUCCUGUGUAGCAGACCCUUCACCAUGCCCUGGAGAUGCUGGGGUGCGACAAUAAAGUAGGCUUCUCCCAUGAUGAACCUCACGGUUGGAGGCAUCUGUCCACCCAUGUGGUUCCAGACACGUUCAUGUGGCCACCAAGACCCCGUCGGCAUCACAGGAGUAACCAAGAGAGCAGCAAGUUCCUGGGACAGAGGAGAGAGAAGGGAAUUUCCAGGUUCUUCAGGACGUUCACAACCACACUGAGAAGCAUCUUUGCAGAUAAGUAUUUAAACUUACCAGCCCAUAGCCUACCAGCCUGCCCUCUUCUGGUCUGUGCAGGAAAGUGUAGUAUCCUAGAAUACCAAAGUGGGAGGGGAAACGGGUGAUGUAGCUCAUUCUCUUUUCUACCUCUAUGGAAGAAAGAAAGAGCCUGUCCCCAUUUUGUGGGGUCCCAGAAAGGGUGAUUUUUCACACUCCACAUUUGGCAUUAGGGCUAGUAUUUUAUAAACGUCACUGUAUGGAACUUUUGAAGGCUGAGUUAAAUGACUUCAUCUUGUGUACUUGUAGAA